RNAcentral lists this ribosomal RNA (328 nucleotides) under uncultured eukaryote. RNAcentral describes it as "partial 18S ribosomal RNA". It matches the Rfam family "Eukaryotic small subunit ribosomal RNA", at positions 1470 to 1796 of the family's 1831-position model. The record is from RNAcentral.
CCCUUAGAUGUCCGGGGCUGCACGCGCGCUACACUGAAGGAAUCAGCGUGCUAAAACCAUUGUCGAAAGGCAUUGGUAAACCCAUUAAAAUCCUACGUGAUUGGGAUCGGGAAUUGCAAUUAUUUCCCUUGAACGAGGAAUUCCCAGUAAGUGUGGGUCAUAAGCUCGCGUUGAUUACGUCCCUGCCCUUUGUACACACCGCCCGUCGCUGCCCGGGACUGAGCUGUUUCGAGAAAAGCGGGGACUGCUGCUGUCGGGGCUUUCGGGCCUUGGCUUCGGUGGAAACCGCUUUAAUCGCAGUGGCUUGAACCGGGCAAAAGUCGUANCA